CCUACGGGAGGCAGCAGUGGGGAAUAUUGGACAAUGGGGGGAACCCUGAUCCAGCCAUGCCGCGUGUGUGAAGAAGGCCCUCGGGUUGUAAAGCACUUUCAGUGAGGAAGAACGCCUGGUGGUUAAUACCCAUCAGGAAAGACAUCACUCACAGAAGAAGCACCGGCUAACUCCGUGCCAGCAGCCGCGGUAAUACGGAGGGUGCGAGCGUUAAUCGGAAUUACUGGGCGUAAAGCGCGCGUAGGUGGCUUGAUAAGCCGGUUGUGAAAGCCCCGGGCUCAACCUGGGAACGGCAUCCGGAACUGUCAGGCUAGAGUGCAGGAGAGGAAGGUAGAAUUCCCGGUGUAGCGGUGAAAUGCGUAGAGAUCGGGAGGAAUACCAGUGGCGAAGGCGGCCUUCUGGACUGACACUGACACUGAGGUGCGAAAGCGUGGGUAGCAAACAGGAUUAGAUACCCUAGUAGUC
RNAcentral lists this ribosomal RNA (465 nucleotides) under Vreelandella stevensii. RNAcentral's name for it is "partial 16S ribosomal RNA". It matches the Rfam family "Bacterial small subunit ribosomal RNA", at positions 338 to 795 of the family's 1533-position model. The record is from RNAcentral. Lineage: Bacteria; Pseudomonadati; Pseudomonadota; Gammaproteobacteria; Oceanospirillales; Halomonadaceae.